GACGAACGCUGGCGGCGUGCCUAAUACAUGCAAGUCGAACGCUGAUUUUCUAACUAAUGCUUGCAUUGACUUGAAAAUCGGAGUGGCGAACGGGUGAGUAACACGUGGGUAACCUGCCUAUCAGAGGGGGAUAACAUUUGGAAACAAGUGCUAAUACCGUAUAACCAUGAUGACCGCAUGGUCAUGAUGUAAAAGGUGGUUUUGCUAUCGCUUUUGGAUGGACCCGCGGCGUAUUAACUAGUUGGUAAGGUAACGGCUUACCAAGGUGAUGAUACGUAGCCGAACUGAGAGGUUGAUCGGCCACAAUGGGACUGAGACACGGCCCAUACUCCUACGGGAGGCAGCAGUAGGGAAUCUUCCACAAUGGGCGCAAGCCUGAUGGAGCAACGCCGCGUGAAUGAAGAAGGUCUUCGGAUCGUAAAGUUCUGUUAUUAGAGAAGAACACGUGUAAGAGUAACUGAUUAUGCGUUGACGGUAUCUAAUCAGCAAGUCACGGCUAACUACGUGCCAGCCGCCGCCGUAAUAC
RNAcentral lists this ribosomal RNA (526 nucleotides) under uncultured bacterium. RNAcentral describes it as "bacterial SSU rRNA". It matches the Rfam family "Bacterial small subunit ribosomal RNA", at positions 28 to 526 of the family's 1533-position model. The record is from RNAcentral.